UAUGCUUCAAAACUUAUUAGCUAAUGAAAAGGAUAACAAAUCAAUUAGCAGCAAAUAGAUAGGUGUGAGGGUGUGCCAUCAGUGUUAAAGUAACUAAAAAAAUAGUGAUCAAAAAGAGGGUGUGAUAGUAGCACGAAUUCAGGUUUCUUGAUCUUUAAGGACUUUCACUAUUAUCACACCAUCAUUUAAAAAAGACGGAUUUAAAUAAGGAUAGAGAUAUAAUCUAGACUAGUAGAGAUCUUAGUUAAAUUAACACUAGUCUUAAGAUAUAAAAAACGAGAAAGCUAAGAUAAGAUAACAUACAUUAAAUAUAUUAUUAAAAAAAAUUAUAAAGUAUAAAUUUCACUUAUUUAUAUUAAACAUAAUAACUACCCACUUUAAUAAUUGUUAUCCAUAUCUGACCUCUACUUUUAAUGUUUCUAAUUACUAAGACCAACUAUCCUCUCACUAUUUACAUCUAUUAGAGCAACCUAACCAUGCACUACCUGUUAGACUGAUAGUCAUAUUUAGUUAGCUGAUGUAUCUUCAAUCACCUACUUUAUAUUAGUGCCCUCUCGAUCAUUCCUAUAUAUUUGGCCUCGAAUGUGAUUUGUCAAUCAACUUCCCUAUAGUGCCCAUUCAAUCUUAGCUCUUGAGAUAUCCUCCUAAGAUUCAUUACAUCAGUUCUCACCAAAUCAUAUGGCUAAUUAGACAUGUGUCUCUUAUAUGUUGGUUUGAACAAGAAUGUCAUGUAAACAAUAUCUUCUGUAUCCUAUCAACCAUCAAUCAAAUAGGAUGAUGGGAUAUACUAGUCAUUUGAGUAUCCGAAUCAAACUGUUGGCAUUUGAUUUUUUAAAUAAUUGCACCUCUGAUGAUUUUUGCCCUUAUUGAGUUUUUUUUCAUAAUACAGGAAUCAUACAAUGGUGCUUCCUCUCCCCUUAUAAUGUCCACAUGCCGGUAUAGUAUAGUGUUGGCACUCUUUCCAUCCUAUCCCAAAAUAUUGCACGGCUUGCUAACAAAGUUCCAUCCAGAUGUCACAGAGAGUAGUGGUGACAAAUUAAAUAGUGAGGAUUUGUGUGAGCAGGCAUGCCACAAGCAUCGAAUUAGCUAGAAAAUAAUCGAAGGAGGGAUAGAAAGCAACAUGAUCCAUGUGUCUUGACCAUCAAAGGCCUUCACCAUCAUCACACUACCAUUUAAAGAAGAUAGAUAAAGGGUGUAGAGCUGGGCUACAUAGAGGAAUGUAACAUUGGACAAUGAUAAGGAUGUACCAUUAAGCCAUAGUGUAAAAAGUUAGGUUACUCCUAUUCCUAAGGUAGAAACAACAAUGAACUAAGAUAACAUAAAAUUUAUUGGAUUGAUUAUUGAAGGAUCAAAGAUCCUCAUGGAGUACAAUUCCAUUAGUUGUAUUAAAAUGUAGUAACUACCUACUUUGACAAUUGUCAUCCAUGUUUAGUCUCCACUCCUAGCAAUUUUGGUAACUAACAUUGGUUGACUUCCUACUACUGCAUGGUCAUUAGGAUGGCCAUUUAGCACCAACUGUUAGGCUGAUACUCAUCCUUCUAUUCGUCUUAGCAUAAAACUUUCUUUAGAUUACCUUUUCAUUAUGUUGGCUAUCUUUCCUUAAUUGUCUUGUAGCAUAAUCUUAUUUGUGAAGAUAUCAUUGAGACCAAUUUAUAUAUAUAAUACUUGCCCAUCUUUUGCCAUCAGGAUGAUCAUGAUGACAUCGAGGCUUGGUCUCUUGUGAUAGUUACUUCUAAUUCUACUUCAGGGUGGCUACAUCUGCAACAACCCUUGGAUGUCUAGAUAUGGCAUAAAAAAAUACCCUCCACAUUCUAUUAACCAUCAAUCAAUUGGAUAACAGGAUGUGCCAUAACAUCACAACUGCUUUAAUAGGAAUGAUGUUCGGAAAUUCGAAGUGCUCAUGUCUUUUGGAAUUCCUACAUUUCCACCAUACCCUCCUUAAUAUGUACCUUUUUUUUCUUUUAGGAUAGUCUAUAUGGCUUAAUAAGGUAGCUAACCCUUCGGAGCAAACCACUUCUCAAUGCAUCGCAAUCAAUUAAAAUCAUUUUAGGACAUGAUAUUAAAACCUUUUUAAAGAGAUCAAAAGGUCCAUCUUCCAUCUCUACCUCCAGUAGUUCAUGCUCCCUUCACCUCCUUCAACCUUUUACAAUAUUAAUGAUAGGAUGAACCAAGAUCCUACCUCCCUUAAUGCUCUUACCCACAAAAGAUGAGAAGAAUUAGAGCAUUUUAGGAUUCUAUAAUCUAUAGAUUCUC
Molecule: long non-coding RNA, 2253 nt
Filed under: Elaeis guineensis (African oil palm)
Lineage: Eukaryota; Viridiplantae; Streptophyta; Magnoliopsida; Arecales; Arecaceae
Description: long non-coding RNA (EGUI_LNC034124)
Source: RNAcentral